GAUGAGGAACGCAGCGAAAUGCGAUAAGUAAUGUGAAUUGCAGAAUUCAGUGAAUCAUCGAAUCUUUGAACGCACAUUGCGCCCCUUGGUAUUCCGAGGGGCAUGCCUGUUCGAGCGUCAUUAUAACCCUCAAGCUCAGCUUGGUGUUGGGGCCUGCUGCACUGGCAGCCCUUAAAAUCAGUGGCGGCGCCAUCUGGCUCUAAGCGUAGUAAUUCUUCUCGCUAUGGAGUCCUGGUGGAUGCUUGCCAUCAACCCCCAAUUUUUCUAUGGUUGACCUCGGAUCAGGUAGGGAUACCCGCUGAACUUAAGCAUAUCAAUAAGCGGAGGA
RNAcentral lists this unclassified non-coding RNA (328 nucleotides) under soil metagenome. RNAcentral describes it as "partial contains 5.8S ribosomal RNA, internal transcribed spacer 2, and large subunit ribosomal RNA". The stretch from base 1 to 120 matches the Rfam family "5.8S ribosomal RNA", at positions 35 to 154 of the family's 154-position model. The record is from RNAcentral.